Molecule: long non-coding RNA, 386 nt
Organism: Pungitius pungitius (ninespine stickleback)
Lineage: Eukaryota; Metazoa; Chordata; Actinopteri; Perciformes; Gasterosteidae
Exons: 2
Source: RefSeq, a predicted model, not a curated record
UGGAUGUGGACGGGAACAGAGAAAAAACGUACCCAGACCAAAUCAGAACAGUUCUCUACCUCCAAUCCAUCCUUUGAGUUUGUUUUAAGGGAAAUGUUCCUUUAUUAGAAGACUACAGGUGGUGAAAGGGAGGGGAAAUAUAGAAAGGUUUGUUUUAAAGGCACUGUAACUGCAUGGUUCGCCUCCAUCCCCGUCCCAAUAGCAGGCUGAGGGACAAGCCAGAGGCCACGAGGAGGGCUUUUGGAGCUGGAUAAGUAGGCAAAGCCCUCGCAUAAUCCUUUCCUCCUAAAUGAACCCUGAGCCAGAGAGCGUUUACUUUUCCAGCAUUGUUUUUUUUUUCUUUUUUUUUUAUUGGAGAAGGGGCUGGAAAUUGGCAGUCGGAUAUC